CGGCCGGUGAAUGGGCAGAUAAUGCCAUC
Molecule: small RNA, 29 nt
Filed under: Bombyx mori (domestic silkworm)
Lineage: Eukaryota; Metazoa; Arthropoda; Insecta; Lepidoptera; Bombycidae
Description: ovarian small RNA-14478
Source: RNAcentral